CGAGCGGAACGAUCCUAGCUUGCUAGGAGGCGUCGAGCGGCGGACGGGUGAGUAACGCGUGAGAAUCUACCCAUGAGUGGGGGACAACCCGGGGAAACUCGGGCUAAUACCGCAUACGCCCUACGGGGUAAAGCAGGGGACCUUCGGGCCUUGCGCUGAUGGAUGAGCUCGCGUCGGAUUAGCUUGUUGGUGAGGUAAAGGCUCACCAAGGCGACGAUCCGUAGCUGGUCUGAGAGGAUGAUCAGCCACACCGGGACUGAGACACGGCCCGGACUCCUACGGGAGGCAGCAGUGGGGAAUCUUGGACAAUGGGGGCAACCCUGAUCCAGCCAUGCCGCGUGUGUGAAGAAGGCCUUCGGGUUGUAAAGCACUUUCAGCAGGGAGGAAGGCUUACCCCUAAUACGGGUGAGUACUUGACGUUACCUGCAGAAGAAGCACCGGCUAAUUUCGUGCCAGCAGCCGCGGUAAUACGAAAGGUGCAAGCGUUAAUCGGAAUUACUGGGCGUAAAGCGCGCGUAGGCGGUGUGUUAAGUCGGAUGUGAAAGCCCAGGGCUCAACCUUGGAAUUGCAUCCGAUACUGGCACGCUAGAGUGCAGUAGAGGGAGGUGGAAUUUCCGGUGUAGCGGUGAAAUGCGUAGAGAUCGGAAGGAACACCAGUGGCGAAAGCGGCCUCCUGGACUGACACUGACGCUGAGGUGCGAAAGCGUGGGGAGCAAACAGGGAUUA
RNAcentral lists this ribosomal RNA (726 nucleotides) under uncultured bacterium. RNAcentral describes it as "bacterial SSU rRNA". It matches the Rfam family "Bacterial small subunit ribosomal RNA", at positions 63 to 780 of the family's 1533-position model. The record is from RNAcentral.